AGCCACUGAUGAAACUAGAUUCUGCCACAUGAGUCACUGUGAUAUUACAAUUUCCGUUCCACUUCUUUCUGAGGUU
Molecule: small nucleolar RNA, 76 nt
Organism: Chlamydotis undulata (Houbara bustard)
Lineage: Eukaryota; Metazoa; Chordata; Aves; Otidiformes; Otididae
Rfam family: Small nucleolar RNA SNORD47
About the family: U47 belongs to the C/D class of snoRNA which contain the C (UGAUGA) and D (CUGA) box motifs. Most of the members of the box C/D family function in directing site-specific 2'-O-methylation of substrate RNAs.
Source: Rfam